This is a long non-coding RNA of Sarcophilus harrisii (Tasmanian devil), 2385 nucleotides long. The record is from Ensembl. NCBI's taxonomy places the organism in Eukaryota, Metazoa, Chordata, Mammalia, Dasyuromorphia, Dasyuridae.
GUUUGUGUUUUCAUGUCCAGUUGUGCAGUUAUCAAAGCAGAAAAACUGAUAGAAGAGUUUUAAGUGUAAUAUAUAACUGAAAUAGUGUGGUGUUGAGCCUGCAAAAAUAAAGGGGAAUUGUAAAUAAGGUUCUCCUCUGCUUAACCACUUGCACUGUAGGUUAGUAUAAUAGGUUAUUUUCAGUUUCUACACAGAUUAAGGAUAGUAUAACGUUUUUGUAUAGUCUAAGCCCUUUUAUGGAAUACUGUAUACUGUAACUUGGUUUUCUGACUUCUGUUUGCUUUUAUGUUUUAAAUAUUAUGUGACAUAGUCUUGACAAGUAGUAAGGUCACAGACUUGUGCAAAGCAAAUUUCAGAUGUAUAAAUCUUAAGUAUGUAAGUUGAAAAUCAAAAUUUGUAUAUAGAAAGAAGAAAAAGCAAUUUUAUUGAUCUGGAACUUGCAAGUAAUAUGAAACCUGAAUUUUAUUGAGCUCAUAUACAUGAGUGUAUAGAUCAUAUAUCAAUAAAUGCAGUUGAGACAUUUUAGCCUUCUUAGCAUUGCUUCUGUAUCGUGCUAUUUUUAAAAGAAUUUCACCAGCUUACUCUUUUUGAAGAAUUCGUGAAAUUCCUUUUUUUUUAUGUUUGUACCCACUUUCUUAUGAUAGAAUUGGACUGAUUUUUUUGUUUCUGCUUCUUUUCUGAAAUUGUUUUUUCCAUUCAAUUGAUAGUUUAUUUUAAACUCAUUCACAAUAGAAAUUGAAGAUAUUACUUACUAAUGUGACAUUGGCACAGGCAAACAGAUUAUACCUCUAAAGAACUUGAUAGGCUAAUGACUAGAAUAAUUACUCAGUAUUGUUCUUCAGUAUUAUUCAGAAUAUGCACUUCAAAGGGAGAAUAGCACAUCAGAUUUGAUUCACCAGCAAUAAGCUAAUUGGAAGCAAACAAGGGUUAAUUGAGUCACCAGCACAAUUUUAAUAUUUUCUAACGUCAAUGAAAAAUCCUUGUUUUUCUGGGGUCAUCCACAAAACUAGACUUUAACUCAUUACCAUUUCUUGUCACCCAGUAUACUUUACCCUAAGAAUAUCAAAGGAGGACACUCUUGUUUUGUGUUUAUUAAAUAACUUUCAAAAAAGCACUUCCUGAAAAUGGAAAGAUGGCCAUCACUUAGUAUUUUCAACAUGAUUUUCUUGGCACUGCCUUUUUUUUAUGAUUAUAUAACUUCAAACAUUUACAUUUGCCUUUUUAAUUACAUUUGAUUUUUUAAGGCUGAGAAAUGCAGAGGUGUUUUUUUUUCCUUUAAAUAUUAAAAAGCAAAAUGUUUAAGCAUUUUGUUUUCAUUCAGUUUUGACAUGGAAGAUAUUUUUGUGCAUUUUAGAGAGCCUUAAAAAUCUAAUGUAAUAAGGGAAAUAGGUGAAAAUUUGAAAUUCUUACAUAGUAUAGAAAAAUGUAAAAAAUGUAUAUGUGUAUAUAAAAUAUAUAUACAUAUAUCACAUAUCCUUUUAGUAAACUAUAAAUGCCCUAUAGGUAUCAUUUUGAAUUAUGUUUCUAUUCUUUGGUCUAAGUCUAAAAAGAAAGGAUAACUAUAUAUCAUGUCUUUAAAUUAACUUACUGUGACAUAUUAUUGCCAGGCAAGAGACAGGGAGGGUUACCCAAAUUAUCCAAAGACUAAGCCCUGUUUCAGGAAUUUCAAAUGUAAUCAUCCACAUAUCUUGCCAUAAAAAUUAGUACCUUCUAACUAUUUAAAUCCUAAUCUCCCUGGAACGUGGAAGGUCAUCUAUAAAAAAAGGCAUCAGUUGAUUAUUUGAGGCCACGGGGGUAAUCACCAUUAAAUAAAAGCCACCUGGUUCCUGUGUCUAUUGCUGUGUCUGGUGUGUAACAUUAUACAGAAAUCUGAUUUUGCAGAGCUGGUCAUGUCACACUAAAGAACCACACAUGUGGCUCAGAAAUAUAACUGUUAACUUCCUAUUUACCUAAAGUGCUGCUGUUUUUAAAAACUAACCCUACAUAUUUUUGUGUCACCUAAUGUCAACAGUUGCUUGUCUGUGUUUGGUAUUUAGUUCAUGAUAUUUAGCUAGAUCUAGUAUGAAAACUGUUCCUUUUCUUGGAAUAUCAUUUUACAAAUAAAAGCUGUAUAUACUGUACUGCUAAUGUUUCCAUAAUUUUAAAAAAAAGUAUCCCUUAUCUAAUGCAUAAGUAGCAUAAUCUAGUCCUCUAUUAGUAGACUUCUGGUUAAACAUUUAAUCUUUAAGUGUGGAGAAUUUUAGGGAAAUAUGUGGCAACACAAAAGAUUACAUUGUGUUCAAAUUUGUAAUCCUAAUAUAAAUGAGAUCAGAAGUGUUUGCUGUAUUGGUACUCUCAAAAGGUCUAUUUAAAGUAUAAAAGCUAAGAAUUGUAUGGUUAAUGGUC